CCUCUUAACAGGUUUUGAUAAAUCUCCCCCAGUGUUUUUGUCAAAAAUGCCACAAAGAUGUCAUUUUGGAAGAAAAGAAAUGAGUGAGGGGCCGGUGCUGGACACUGUAGGGACGCGGGAAUGUGAAGUCAAAAACAUGACUGUGACUGAUGCACUAUUUCCAGCAUGUGGAGUAGCAUUUCCGGACUUACUGCAAGAAGUUGGAUGAUGGCCUAGAUUUCCGGACUUACAGCAAGAAGUUGGAUGAUGGCCUAGAUUUCCGGACCUACAGCAAGAAGUUGGAUGAAGGCACAGCCCCUCAAAUCACGCACAUACACAGACACAUUUGCCCAAAUUCUAGAGGUAACCUCCUUUAGUAUGCCCAGAGGAAGGGCAAUACAGUAGCCAUGGAUUCCCUACAGGUUUCCUCCCCUCUGGAGGUUUUUCCUGUCCUGAGUUAGUUACUGUACGCUCUUUGUGAGUGAUGGGAGGUUACAAAAAAUCCCUACACAAACACUUUAAUAAAUAAUAA
This is a long non-coding RNA of Hyla sarda, 511 nucleotides long. RefSeq lists it as uncharacterized. NCBI's taxonomy places the organism in Eukaryota, Metazoa, Chordata, Amphibia, Anura, Hylidae. The transcript is spliced from 3 exons. The record is from RefSeq and is a predicted model, not a curated record.